CUAGGAUGAAAUUUGAAAAAAAAUAGGCAGGACAGGAGUUUUGAGUGAAAAAAAAGGCAGGAUAUGACACUUGCAAAAAAAAAAAAGUCAGGACGACAAUUUAGUAAAAAAAAGUCAGGAUAAACUAAAAAAAAAAAAAAAAAAAGGCAGGACCGAUUAGAGUGAAAAAUAAAAAGGCAGGACAGAGAUUACAGCUAAAAAAAAUGCAGGACAAAAUUUUUCAUCCUAGCCCCCCCCCCCCCCCAUAAAAAUCAAAUGGUAGCUCCCUUAUCAUUUUAAAACAUUUAGCUUUGGUGUAAUGUAGAUAGUAAAAGGUUGGCUAACGUUGCAUUCUUUUAGGUUAGAGUGUUCAGUUAAAAUUUUGGGCCUCAACAUUUUGUCUUUAUAGUGGUUGCACAACAGGUUACUAUAACUGUAGACCAGUUCAAUAGGAAGACAGAUACUCUUACUAGGGAAAAUUAUCUUAAACACUCAGCCA
Molecule: long non-coding RNA, 478 nt
Filed under: Mytilus galloprovincialis (Mediterranean mussel)
Lineage: Eukaryota; Metazoa; Mollusca; Bivalvia; Mytilida; Mytilidae
Source: RNAcentral